GAGAUUUUAAUUUUUGACAUUUAUUUUCUGUUGUUUUACUUAUAUUAGACUUAUAUUAGAAAAUCCACAGACCAUGUUCAAAUUUUAAGAACUAUAGUACUUCUCCAGUGUACACUAUUAGCUUCUGUGGAGAGAGAACACAGAAGCAGUUGAAAAGCAACAACCUAAAAAUGAGGGGACAGCAUAUUCUCUCCACAGCAACAUGAAAGAGAAAUACAGACCCAAAUCGCCAAUUAGUUCACAGGAAGUAUUCAAAUUCUUGUGUUGUUCUGAAUCGUCAAGUUCAUAACGAUACUUAAGAUAAAUGUCAUGUAUGAAGAGUGAAAAUUGUACAGGGCUAAAGGUGGAGCUCAGUGGCAGAGUGUAUGUUCAAAGCUCUGGGUUCAAUCUUCAGUGUAACACAAAAUUAAAAUAAAACAAAUGUCAUAAAGUAAGGGAAUAUUGUUAAUAAUCUAAUAUAAUCAAUUAUUUUAUAAGUGAUUUCUUUUUAAAAGCAAUUUAUUUGGGAAAGCUCAACUGAAGUCAUACCUAUUGCCUCAAUUUUCUUCAUGACUUUUCUCUGAAGUUGUUCCUAAAAUGUUUUGAACCAUGAAAAAUGAAAUGUAUUACUGAAAUCUACUAAAUGAAAAAGUUCAGAAUCCAGUUUACAAAUAAAUUUGAAUAUGUAAGAAAUAGAGGCAAUAAUAUGAUAUAUUAUCAAUUUGCCUAUGUUUUAAACAGCUUAUUAUUGAUUUGAGUCUCUCAUAGAAUUUUUUUUAAAUAUUUGUUUUUUAGUUGUCGGUGGACCUUUAAUUUUUAUUUGUUUAAUUAUGUGCAGUGCUGAGAAUUGAACCCAGUGCCUCAUACCUGCUAGGCAAACACUCUACCACUGAGCUACAACCCCAGCCCUGUCAUACAAUUUUGAUUGCCAAAAAACCUUUCCACCUAUUUUUAAAACUAAUAUAUAUCUACCAUAAUAUCCUACAAAAGAUUACAUUUGCUCUCUUUCUCCCAGUUCUCUUUCUUCUCUAAAUCUCUUAGUCCUGCAAAUAAAUCUUGAACAUCAUUUGAGCUACAUUAUUUCGAUCUCCAAGGGUGAUUUCAAUUCCAACUUCUAUUUCCAAAUAUGUAUUUAACUCCGGACCAUUUAUAUUAGCUGAAGUAUUAGAUAAGAUGCAAAUAGUUGCAUUUUCUUCCCUUUCAGAUGCCUUCAGUCACCUAAGGACAUCGCAUAGCUGUGGAGACUGCAGAGGGUGAUCCAUUGCUGAAGGAACACUGGAGCAAGUGAAUAUCUCCAUGGGAACAGCAGAGCUAAUCAGGAACCCAUUGAUGUGUCUGAAAGGUUUUGGUAAAGGAGAUUUAAAGAAGUUCAGUGUAUAUUAAAUAGAUGCAACUACUUACUUGAAAAUGAUAUUUGCUAUAUAAGAUCAUUUUGCUACUUUGUCUUAAAAUAUGCAUCACAUUGAUUCAAUUUUUUAAAUAGUAUAUGGUCAUUAUUUCUGUUAAUAAAUACAUUGAUAAUUCAUAUUAAGGGUAUUAACUUGGAAGACAGACAAGUCUGGGUUUGUAUUCUGGCACUGCCAAUUGUUAAUUAUGUAAUUUGAGGUAAUAUAUUUAAAACUCUCUAAAUCUCACUUUCUUUUUUUAAACAACGAUGGCAAUGACUUCAUAGAGUUUCUCUAAUGACUCAGUAAAGUCUGGCAAAGUAGCUCAAUGGUAGAGCACUUUCUCAGCAUAAAGGUCCCUGGGUUCUAUUCCUAGCACUGCAAAAUAAAUAAAUAGAGAAAGAAUCAAUGAGAUAAUCUGUUUUGAGUACUUAGCAUGUUUUUGAACCUUGUUCCAUAGUUAAUGAUACCUACAUUAAUUAGGAGACCUAUGCCAAUCCCCUCCAAUCAGAACCAGACCUGACCUGUGUCUGUUUGGAGCCCUUCAAUUAUCAUAUCACAGUGCUAUAGUUAUACUUCUGUAGUUUGUUAUUGUUUAAAGAUCCCCACGUUCCUUAUUCACUAUCAAUUUCUGGUCAAUAUCUGACAACUAGCAGUUACAGCUAACUAGUAAGUUUCCAGAUUCACUGAGGGUAUACAUUUGUAAGCAAAAUAUUUAUCUACACCCUUCACUUUAAUGCUACAGGCUUAACUAUCUACCUUUACAGCUGUGAGCAAGAGGGAAAUCUCACCAGCUGCUACUGAGGAGGCCCAACUGGUGCUUGUAACCUAACAUGGUUGUGUCUUAUUACAUUUACAGAACCAUUUCUGCCUCAGAGUAUCCUGGGUAUGUCUGGUUUAAUCACUAAAGGCAUCAUUAGAUGGCAUCUGCCGUAAAAUGCUCCCCAGAGGAUCAAACAGAACCAACUACAAAAUGCCACAGAGCAGACCCUUGGCCUCAAACAUCUAUGAUUCAAGGUUUUAAUUCUCAAGCAGUUUCUAACAUCGAUGACACAAAGCAACCUGUAAUUGUUCUACAACACGGAUCUGAUGGCACCAAGACUUUCCAGGUAUGACGGGUGGAAUGAGGUGCUUAACUAGCAAGUGGGCCCCACAGCAGCUAUAGCAUCUCCUGUUUUUGUCCAUCCCUCUCCAUUCUCAUUCAUGCAUUUAUUCUCAUUAAGGGUCUUUAAGGCUACCUAAUAUUUUUUAUCUUGCUAAUUUAUAUGCUUUAUAUAAAAAUUAUAUCUCUAAAUAAAAUUCAAGAAAGUCUGAGGUAUAUUCUUCAGCCAUAUCAAGUGUCUACUCUCAUCUUCCAAAGGUAAGGCAUUGUCUAAUGCACAACAAAAUUAUUUUAUAACUACUUCUGAUUCCUAAUAUCAAAAUAUGGGUUUUACAGUGAGUACUUUCACCUCAAAUAAUUUUUUUGCUGCCAAAAUAACUUUUUAAUAGCAACAUGUUACUACUUCUAUAGUGUACAAUGCAAACUAACCUCUAAGAAGAGCUAAAACAUUUCCUGUUUAUCUAAAUAUAAAUUCCUCUCUCAUAGGUAACACAGACAACAUAGCUUAAGCUAGGAUGACUUAUGCAAAGACACAAGACUGAAUUCAACAUUUUAGAGGGUUUUAAAAAAAUACUUUUUAAUCAUAAUUUCAAAAAUUAAAUUGUCUGAAUUUUACACCAUUUUAAUGGAAUGGUUUGAUAUUAUACAUUGGUCUGAGUUUCUUUGUGGCUGUUAUGAUUUGAAUAUGAAGUAUCCCCCAAAGCUUUUAUGUUAAUACAGUAAUGUUCAGGGUGAAACGAUUGGAUUACAGGAGCUGUAGUCACUCAUCCUAGUUUGAAUGGACUGACUGGGUGGUAAAUGUAGAGAGGUGGAGUGUGGCUGGAGAAUGUGGGUCAUUGGGGAUGUGCCCCAGAAGAGCAAGAGGGUAUGGCCCCUUCAUGCACUCCUGCUUCCUUGCUGUUUUGAGGGACCAGUUUCCCUCUGCCCUGCGUUUCUCCAUGAUAUUCUGCCUCACCUUGAGCUCAGAGCAAUGGAAUCAGCCAUGUAUGGACUGAGUCACCUGAUACCAUGAGUAAAAGUAAACUUUUCCUACUCUGAAUUGUUCUGGUCACGUAUCUUAGUCACAGGAGCAGAAAGCUAACUAAAACAGUAGCCGUACUCCAAAAAAUCAUGAGAAGCUCAAAUACUUUUCAGUCAUUCUUGCCAUUCCUAAGGAGUUGGCUUCAUUCAUAAGGUCUCAAAUGACUCACCACUAAGUCACAUCUCUACCAUCAGAAAGAAGUAAAGAAGGGAACAACAUGUCCCAUCUCCUUAAACCCAGAAACUGCACACAUUACACCUAGUUACAUCUUAUUGUCCAGAAUUCAGUCACUCUACUUACAAGGAAAACUGGAAAUACAAUCUUUACUUCUACUGUGGAAGAUGUCAAGGGAUGGUCACGAUGUCUGCCAACAGAAAGCAAUUUUAAAUGUCAAAAAGUAUAAGUCAGGGCAGGGGUUGGUGCUCAGUAGUACAGCACUUGCCUAGCACAUGUGAGGCACUGGGUUGGAUCCUUAGCACCACCUAAAAAUAAAUAAGUAAAAUGAAGGUAUUGUGUCCAUCUACAACUAAAAAAUAUAUACAUAAAAAAGAAAGUAAAUUUUUUAGAUACUUUAUUUUGAUGAUUAUUCAUGUGUUUUUAAUUCUAAAUAUAAUAAAUUUGGAAUACAUGAAGAUAAUAAGUGGUUACAUUAAAUACUCUUAAUUUCGGAAACUAGAGGUGUUCACCCCUCUCUCUCAAUAGGCUUGGGCUUAUUUUUUAGUGUCAUUUGUGUUUCUCAGCCUCCUUAAUCUUAGGAGUAUCACUUAAUUUCAUGGGUCCCAAUUUCCUCUGUGAUAGUGAAGAUCAGAGAAACAGUUCAAGGCGGUUAGGAAUAUGAAAGGAGGGUGGACAUAUUCAUCAUGUAAACAAACAGCAGAAAUGAUGGAAUGAUGCACCAUGUAUACAUCUUGAAUGUUAGAACCAUUUGUGACUCAUAUAUAACCUGAUGAUCUGUACACAUUCAGUUCACAAGAAAUGACAUGAAUUGCCUGAGCGCACAGCACCCAGCUUGUAGCCUCAACAUCUGCAUCAUACAGACAGAGAAAAUACAAGUGCUAAUGUGACAUUUGUCCCUAAACAUGUCUACUAUUGGACUCCACUUUAUCCCAUGCUUCACUCAAACACAUUUCAGGAAAAGAUUUGGGAGACUUGAACACAGAUGAAAACAAAGUAUCCAAAAAAAAAAGGAAGAAAGAAAGAUGAAUAGAGUAGAAAUUAAAUAUUUAAGUUUUAGAGGCAAGAGGAAGAAAAUAAUAAUUAGAUAAGGUAGAUGAAUAUAAAUAAUGGCUAGGAAAUUCUCUAGCAAAACCCCAGAAGUGAAAAAGGUUUUUAAUGAAUAAUUUCAGCAAAAAGCUUCUCACCAAUUUUAGCACAAAUUUUAAAUUCUGGUGUUGUUGGUGAUUAAUCAAGAUUAUAUGUGUUGACACUCAUGUUUAUUAAAGAAGCUAAAAUUCAAUCUGCUCUAAUAAAAAUGAUAGAACCUACUACUGGAAGACAAUAAAAACACCUUUAUGCACAUAAACACACACACACACACAAAUUGAAAGAAGAUGCUGCAAAACAUUAUUUUCAACAAUUGUGGUAAGUAAUUUGACCAAAAGCCAAAUGUUAGAGUGAAAGACAGAGUUAAGGAUAUUAUAAAAGGGUUGGUCUCUUUGCCACAUUCCAUUCACAUGAACAAUGCAGAUUUGACAGACAGGAAUUCUUACUAACCAGGUGGGAAGAGGUGUGGUGAAUGGCCCACUUACCACAUUUUUAAGUCUUUCUUUGCUCUUUCUUUUUUCUUCUGUAGCCUUCGCAAAUGACCUUGAGAGGACAUUUUCCAAUCAUUUAACCUUUCUUUCCAUGAAUAAAUUUUCUUGAAUGAUGGUAUUGAUAUACUUUGCCAUUUUUUAUGAGUCUGCUUUUUGUUUUUUAGUUUGACAGUUGCCACAUUCUACAUUGUUAUAUCACUAUUUUCAAACUGUCACAGAGAAGUAUUCAUUGAAUGACCAAAACCUAACAGCAUCUCUAUCCUUCCUUUAUUCCUUUUUAAAAUAUGUAUCGAACUGUCUAUCCAAAAAGCACUAUCUUAAUAUGUCCUCAAUUAUUUUUUCUUCCUCAGUUAUGAUCUGGUACAUAGCACUACCAUCCACCCAUUUUGAGGCUGACACCAUUAUCUCACAUCCUUAAGUCCCAGUUUCCUCUCAUACUCAUUUCCCAGCAUCCCCAAAUCAGGUCAGCUUGGCCUCUGAUGUGUAUCCUGAAUGGGUGAUUUCCUACCCUCUCCACCUCUGAAACUCCAGAGGUGGCCACCACUGUUGGGAGAAUUUCCCAGCGGGAUCCCUUGCUAUUCCUCUUGCUAAUUUUUUAUCUUCUUAGUGAUCUUUUAAAAGUAUAAAUGGCUCAUCCCUGAUUUAAAAAAUAAGAUUAAAACUCUGUGUUUGUGUGUUAUGCUCUAGUUCGGAACCCCCAAAGGACCACCAGAGACCAAGAUCCUAUAAGCAGCAAAGAGGUGUUUAUUGCGAGCUAACUGGGUCUCUCUGCACACAGCAACUGGUGACGCUGAGAGGCCCCAGCCCAGGGUUUGCGGCAGUUUUAUACACUCUUUGGGGAAGGCAGGGACUUCACAUACAUCAUAACAUCUCUUAGCAAAUCAUCACACACCCACACACCGCAGGGAAAUCAUAAAACAACUCUAAAACAUGAUUAGCAUAUCAAGUGGUGGGAAAGAAUCUGGAAAGGAUUAUUGGUCAGUUCAAGGGGUUGACGCACUUAAAAAUGAUUGGUUUAAACCAUGAGGGUGUCACAAGGGGGGUACUGCCAAGCUGCAAGGCUUCUGGUUUAGAUAUUGAUCACCACACCUAGGUGGGGGCCAUCUGGAAUUUCAGAUAUUUCAGUAUCUUGGCCUAUCUUAGGCAAUCACCAUUUGCUUUGCACAGAGCUUUCUGUGGUAUUUCCUGACUUUAGGACUGCAGUAGGUCAGAGGUUAAGUUUCAGGGUAAAAUGAGGUUGCUUAGGUCUUUCAUGUGUGCCACUACACUUGAAAUACAAUUAAUUCCUUCAUUUACAAAAACUGAGUGAUCUGUCUUUCUGACCUCAUCUUCUGUUGUCCCUGUGCCCUGUUGGAUUUGUUCUUAGUAUUUGGCCCUUUUAUAUGUUCUUCAAACACACAAAUCUUACUUCUUUCAUGGGGUCUUUGUACUUUGUUCCUUGUAUUUGAAUUCUUCUUCCCAAGGUGGCAGCCUGUAUGGUCCACUUUCUUCCUUUAGGUCUCAACUCUAAAGUAACUAUCUCAAAAAAGUCUUCCCUGAUCACCCUAAGAGUUGGAUGCAUCUCACUCUACAAGUAAUGUCACCCACAGUCUGAUUCAAAUUAUCACAGCUCCAUGAGAAUUCUUUAAAAAAAAAAAAAUGAUUAUCAUUUGAGAAGAUUUAUGUUGAGGAGACCAGAGGAUCAAAGUUGGAACCAGUAAUGAGACACAGUACUGUAGAAAGAACAAGGUUUGGGAGGAAAACUGAUCAGAUUUCCCUGAUCAGUCUUUCACUUACUAACUUUAUGGCCUUCAGGAAAUUACUUACCACAUUUGAAACUUGGUUUCCUCAUCUGUAAAGCGUGCAUAUAAUAUCAAAAGUAUUUGUUUGCUUUAAGAUAUAUAAAAUAAUAUGUUUACCUGAAAUAGAGUAGCUAUUUACUGGGACCAUAUUUUUUGGUGUUGGUUCUUUGUUCUCAUAUUAUAAGGCUUUCAAUCUACAUUUUUUAAGCAUGUUGUAAUUUCUCUGAAGGAGGAAGCAGUUGACUACAACACAUGGCUAAGGAAGCUAGGAUAACAGUGGUUCCCUGUUAUUCUUUAUUUUUUAAAAAAUUUAACCUUUAUUUUUAUUUAUUUAUCUAUUUAUCUAUUUAUUUGUUUAUUUAUUUGUGUAUGUGUAGUGUCAAUGAUCAAACCCAAUGCCUCACACUCUACCACUGAGCUACAACCCCAGCCCCUCUGUUUUUCUAUUUUUCCUUUUUUUAUAGUUGUAGAUGGACAGGAUGCCUUUAUUUUAUUUGCAUAUUUUUUAAAAGACAUUUGUCAAAGUCACCACACCCAAUGUAACUUCUAGACUGAAUCACACUUAACAUGAAAAAGCAAGAAAAGGGAAAAGAAAGGAAGGAAGGAUGAUUUAGAAGAAGAGUAAGGAUUACCUUCCUGAGUGGCUCAGUAUUUUCAAUUUUGAAAGUAAUUUGAAACAUUCCAAUUGUAUAAAAAUGUGCCUGUUUAUUUAGUAAUUCAACACAUAUAUAGGGGGCAUCAGUCACUGCUUAAAGUAUUGCAAAUACUGCAUUAUAGCAAAGGACAAAACAAAGCCCUCUGAUUUUGUGACUCUUGUACUGCUCAAUCCCUCAUCUUAGAAUCAAAUUACAUUUUAUCUAUUGCCAUAGUAUUCUAUACCCCAAAUGAUAAACUUGGGGUCAGGGACUUGGAUUCUACUAUGAGCUUUACCCAUCCUUUAGUUUGGGGCUAGUUGUCAGAUUUUCUAAGUCUUAAUUUCCAAGGCUAUGUAACCUAGCUCUAGUGUUAAACUAAAUAUGGCCUGAGGCUACUUCUGUGCUUUGAAUCCCAACAUAAUUAACUGCAAAAUAACUUAGUACAUAAAAUACCUGCAAGUCUAAAGUAAGGAGUGUAGCUUUUGUGAUAGCUAGCUGGGUUUGAGCCAAUCAUAGCAGUACACUUCACACAGGCAGCCAACCAAUCAGAUCAUGUUCAAAGAAGGCAAACUUGGAGCUAUAACUCAAAAAGCAGCCUGUGGCCCUCACUUCUCUUUCCUAUCUAUAUAAAUGCUGUCUGAACAUGUUGCAGAACAGAGUUCUCUUGGUUUCUUCUUCUUGGUUUUGAGGGCUGAUUGAUUUUCAAAUUGCUUCUUUCUCAAAAUCAAUUAAAUUUAAUUUUCUUUUUCUUUUGUGGUACUGGCAAUUGAACACAGAAGUACUUUACUAGUAAGUUACAUCCUGAGAAACAGGGUCUCACCAAGUUCAGGCUGGCCUGGAACUUGCAGUCUUCCUGCCUCAUCCUCUUCCCCCAGGGUAGACAGAAUUACAGUCUCUACAGUUCCAAAACAUGAUUCUAUGCUGAUAUGAAACAUUACACUGUCCUAUUUUGUCUGCAGCUUAUUUCCCAUGUUAAUAACUAGAAUUGAGCUGAAAAGAUGAAACCUGUUUGGAACACAAUCAUCUUUUCUUUUGUACUGUAAGGGACGGCCCAAGAUUUUCUCAACUAAACCUUAUAUUUGCAUUUAAGUUGUCUAAAUUUUAAUAUGCAUAUGUUUCAGGGACAUUAUAAUGCCCCAAACUUUCUUUUACCAAGCAUUUCUGCAAGAUCAAUUAUAUAAAUGAAUGAAUGAAUGAAUAAAUAAAUAAAUGAAAAUACUGUUUUCUAUAAAAACAUGCAUGCAUUAUUAUCACUAUGAUUAUCUGCAUUGAUGUCCCAGUACAUCCAUUUGUUUCAGAUGAUUCAUUUUUAUACAGUUCAAUGCAUUCGCCACCAUGGAGAUCAUUGUCAAACAGGUGCUACGGCGCAUUCUCUUAUGGCUAAAGAAAACAUUUUUUUUUGUAUUUAUAUGGUAUCCAGGUUACAUCUUUGAUAAUCAUUUUAAAACUGAGAGUAAAAAAUGGCAGAUGGAAUAUCAUUGUUUUUCUUUUUCUUCCCCAUCUCCCUUUAUUUCUUUACAUUGUCAGGAUGGCUCCAUCCAUUCAGAUGGCAUGGCUGUUGUGAAUGAAGGCAGACCUGCACUUUCAGCGAUCCUCUCUCCAGUUCAAUUAUGGUGCUUUAGCAGGGCUAAUUAGCAUUCCUCAGUGCUGGAGCUCUUUGAGUGACAGGUAACCAUGGAGAGUCACACUCCUGUAGGUAAUCAGUAAGAAUCUAGCUUUUCUUUCUAAUUACAAAUUAGAAAAGCCUUAAAGAAAAAGCAUUUACUGAUUUAUGCCAUUAGCCCAAGAUUGCCAUGUUAGAAAGGAUAACAGGAGUGUCAGAAGAAAGCUGAUGUUUUUUCAAAAGGAAAAGAGGGAAAUACCAUGAUGGUCAGAUACAGGAAAAAAAUGUUUAUUGUCUGAUAACAGAUACCCAAAAGGAAAGCAUAAAAAAGCAAAAUGUCAUCUGCUCCUGAGGAUUCAUUUAGAUUCUCCCCUUCGAAAUUUAAGAAAUAAUGUAGUAUUUACUAACGGUGUUUUCUUUUUCUGUCAUUUAGAAUGCACUAGAAUCAGAAUGUUGAAAUAGUAAAUGCAGUGAUCAAUGAGUAAUGCAUAUUUGAUAACUGUUGAUUGUGACUGAUGAGAAAUAUAACAAAAUUAAAAAUUGAGAAUAUUGGAAAAUCCACAUGAUGCAAAAAUAUUGAAUCUGAUCUUGGAAUUGAUGUCAGUUGGCAGAGUGCAUCUUUCCAACAAAGUGAAUAUUAUAAGUAGGCCAGAGAUGUGCAUUAAAUAUUGUCACCUUAGCCUGGUAGCAUAGUUUCAGGAAAAAAAUGAACAGCAAUUUUAUAACAUCUUAAGAUCAUAUCAGGAUAAUGUUUCCAUUCGAAAACAGGUAAGUCCAUAACAAGAAUGAUCAAAGUCAAUUUAUAUUUUCCCAAAACUGAAAGGAAACUUCUCAUUUUUUUUUUUUUUGGUUCUCUUCACCUUAUUAAAAAUUUAAUUUUAACAUGCCUCUCCCUUUCCUGUUUUUACCCAAAAGUAGAAUUAUUAUAAAAACAUUCCCUGGUGUUAUUUCUGGCCAGCAUAAAGCCAGGAAGCUCUUACAGUCUUGUGGGAAUGCCUAAUCCCAUGAAUUUACCAGUCUUAUUUCAACCAUGAGGGUGGGGAAGGAUACAAACCAAGUCACACAGAGUUCUUCAAUUGUUACUUCAGAAUAAUUUCUAUUAUGGGAAGAAUUCAUGAUAACAGAGAAUGAUAAAAAUCAGUUGCAUUAUUUAUGAUCUUACUUUAACUUGGUUCAUGUUCCAAAAAUUAAGAUUUGUCUUCUCAGAUAGAGGUUGAAUGAAAGAACAAAGUUUAAUCACAAGCAAAUGUCCCCAACAAUAUGCAACCAUGGUCAUUAUAAAUUGGGUCACUCAUUUAAUGUGCUAUUUAUUUUAAUGUUCUUUCUUAAUAAGCAUAAUUCUUCAAUUUUCAAGAUUUGCACAAGAAAUUUUCAUAAAAUAUAUUAUCUCAUAUUUCAGAAAUCAAGUAAAUUUAGCUUGCUAAUGGCUUUUAACUUUAAUGCAAAGAUAAAAAGAACAAUUCUGUACCAAAAUCUGAAACUAUUUUUAGUUCUUCAAAAAAAUUUUGCAUCCAGUAGAAUUCUGCAAACAGGGUAAGGACCAUCUCAUUUUAUAGUAUGAACAGUUCUAUUCUAAAGCAUUUCAUUUGGAAGUUCACUAUGUUUCAACCAUAGUGAAGGGAGGUACCAGUUGGUUCCAUCUCACCUUCUUUGAUAUUUACAACUUUUCUUCCCAAUGGUGAAACCAAAUCAGUACAAAUGCUUAAUUGAACAGAAAAUACUGCAUAUUUUAAAACAAACCCAUUAAGAAUCGAUGUUCCAUAAUACUGAAUGGAUUUUGAACAUUGACUUCCUUGGCAAUUUCCAAUUUUUUUUUUAACAAACAGAUUGACUUAUUGAACAUUAAGAACUGUUUUUAUCCAUUUCCAAUCCUGAAUAUUUACAGACAAAUCCUUUUUAACUCUUCUGCCUACAUUUUUUCUGUAGACACUGAAUGAGAAAUUUUGCAAGCAUGAGCUAUUUUAUAAUAGACUAUACUUAAUUAGUGAAUAUGAGGCAGCAGUGGUCUGGUGUUCUGAACAGUUUGUAUAGCUGAUCUCUAAUUGUUUUAUGUCUUCUUCAUAACUUUCACACUAUUAGAGAGAGAAGAAAUCAGCUCAUGACUAUGACUAUCAUCCCUUUUCAGAAAUGUUGAGAUCUCAGAGGGUGGCUGAUAUACCAACAUAGCACAUUUUGUUUUGUUUCCCGGCUACAUGUAGUCUUUCUGAUUUUACACAGUAAUUCCCUAGAAUCACAAAAGUUCAGAAACAUAAAGCUUCCUGUUGAUGUAGUUUAAUCUUCUCAUUUUACAGAUGAAGAUACUGGAGAGAGAGGUUCCUGGCAUCCAGCUAACUAGUGUCAGUGCUAGAACUGGACCUGAAACUCAAAGUUCAGAAUUCCUUUAUCAACAAACUUCCUCUCCUGGGGUAAUUUCAUGCCAUGGGGCCUUCUCAUUAGAUUCCAUGUAGAUUUGUCAGGAGCUGACUCAGAAUUGACUCACAGAGUCAACAAUUAACACAAAAGUCCUGUCUUGCAACAACCUGCCAUAAAACACCCUUGUGUGAGUUCCAAGACCUUGCUUACUGCCAUGUCACUGCCUUGUGAAGAGGGUGAUUGGCCAACCUGAGCUGAGGUGGUAGAUUCUUUACCUUUGUGACUGUGACAGUCUGAUAUUGCCUUUGUAAGUACUCUACAUUUGCCUUUAUUUCAUCCUAAAACAUUAAUCUUUUGAAAGGGCUAAAAGAUAUUAGUCUUUCUGAUCUCAGAUGCUACCAUUUUAUAUAUGUUAGCAAAACUAAAGAGAAAAACAAACAAAAUAGUCAAAUCAAAAAAUUUUAAAAUAUCAGGCAUCUGCUAAAAAAAGUAGACUUUAUUACAAAACCAGUAAAAAAAAA
Molecule: long non-coding RNA, 12133 nt
Filed under: Marmota monax (woodchuck)
Lineage: Eukaryota; Metazoa; Chordata; Mammalia; Rodentia; Sciuridae
Source: RNAcentral